UUAGGGGUGCGCAGGGACUUCAGGGGGGUUUGUGUUCCGAAACUUGGGGAAGGUUGUCAAUAAGAGGGAGAGGGAAGUGUGCGAGGAAGCCGUGGUGGGCCGAGGGCAGGCAGUGUUGCGGGAUCGGCGUGGGAAACAGUGUCAGGAGGCCAAAGCGGAGGGACGAUCCUGGUCUGUAAGGCUGCACCCUUGGUAGCUCUUGGCCCCCACACCUAAGCCUCCAGCCUUUUCCCUUGUGAAAUACAAUCCUGGAGCUCCUGGGAGGCUUAGCGCUGCCCAAGACCUGAGGGCAGGGCAAGGAAGGCUUUCCAGCAGUGGAGUAAAAAGGAAGUGGUGCUAAUGAAGGCCCUAACGAGUCGCAGGAGAAGCUUCCAGCUCCCGCCUUUGGACAGCACUGACAGGGAAGGCAAGGCAACAAGACACGCCUUUUCUGCUCUGCUCGCUCAACUCAGAGGACUGGUUCCUGCUCGGCCUCUGAGGUGCACCGGAUCCCGGUCCUCAGGCUACGAGAUCUGCCCGCCCCCGCCGUCGAGCAACGGGGCUCCAGGCGCUCUGCACCCAAUCGGAGCCCGGCCCCGCCUGCAGCCCGCCCUCCGCCCAGUCCUUCUGGGCUAGGCUCAACCCCUGCAGCUCUCUCGGCGUGGCUCCGCCUCCAACCCGGGCCGAGCUUGGGCUGAGCCUAACUUCGCCUUCGUUCCGCCCUCGAGCCAAUCAGCGGCCCCAUAUCUCCUAUGGCCCCGCCUUCGGCCCUGCCCCAGCCCAGUCCCAGGCCUGACUCU
Non-coding RNA from Odocoileus virginianus texanus, 779 nucleotides. Lineage: Eukaryota; Metazoa; Chordata; Mammalia; Artiodactyla; Cervidae. The record is from RefSeq and is a predicted model, not a curated record.